RNAcentral lists this ribosomal RNA (446 nucleotides) under uncultured bacterium. Its description in RNAcentral is "partial 16S ribosomal RNA". It matches the Rfam family "Bacterial small subunit ribosomal RNA", at positions 338 to 795 of the family's 1533-position model. The record is from RNAcentral.
CCUACGGGGGGCAGCAGUCGAGAAUCAUUCACAAUGGGGGAAACCCUGAUGGUGCGACGCCGCGUGGGGGAAUGAAGGUCUUCGGAUUGUAAACCCCUGUCAUGUGGGAGCAAAUUAAAAAGAUAGUACCACAAGAGGAAGAGACGACUAACUCUGUGCCAGCAGCCGCGGUAAUACAGAGGUCUCAAGCGUUGUUCGGAAUCACUGGGCGGAAAGCGUGCGUAGGCUGUUUCGUAAGUCGGGUGUGAAAGGCGCGGGCUCAACCCGCGGACGGCACAUGAUACUGCGAGACUAGAGUAAUGGAGGGGGAACCGGAAUUCUCGGUGUAGCAGUGAAAUGCGUAGAUAUCGAGAGGAACACUCGUGGCGAAGGCGGGUUCCUGGACAUUAACUGACGCUGAGGCACGAAGGCCAGGGGAGCGAAAGGGAUUAGAUACCCCGGUAGUC